AACGUAGGUGGCGAGCGUUAUCCGGAUUUACUGGGCGUAAAGGGCUCGUAGGCGGACCGGUGUGUCUGGCGUGAAAUCUCCACUGCUUAACAGGGAGGGGCCGCUGGAAACUGCCGAUCUUGAGUAUGGUAGAGGACCAUGGAAUUCCGGGUGUAGCGGUGGAAUGCGUAGAUAUCCGGAAGAACACCGGUGGCGAAGGCGGUGGUCUGGACCAAAACUGACGCUGAGGAGCGAAAGCCAGGGGAGCAAACGGG
This 254-nucleotide ribosomal RNA is filed under the name uncultured bacterium. Its description in RNAcentral is "partial 16S ribosomal RNA". It matches the Rfam family "Bacterial small subunit ribosomal RNA", at positions 524 to 776 of the family's 1533-position model. The record is from RNAcentral.